RNAcentral lists this ribosomal RNA (253 nucleotides) under uncultured bacterium. RNAcentral describes it as "partial 16S ribosomal RNA". It matches the Rfam family "Bacterial small subunit ribosomal RNA", at positions 524 to 776 of the family's 1533-position model. The record is from RNAcentral.
UACGUAGGGUGCGAGCGUUAAUCGGAAUUACUGGGCGUAAAGGGUGCGCAGGCGGAUAAAUAAGUUAGAAGUGAAAGCCCCGGGCUCAACCUGGGAACAGCUUUUAAUACUGUAGAUCUAGAGUUUGUCAGAGGGGGGUAGAAUUCCAAGUGUAGCAGUGAAAUGCGUAGAUAUUUGGAGGAAUACCGAUGGCGAAGGCAGCCCCCUGGGAUAAAACUGACGCUCAGGCACGAAAGCGUGGGUAGCAAACAGG